This 484-nucleotide ribosomal RNA is filed under the name uncultured bacterium. RNAcentral describes it as "partial 16S ribosomal RNA". It matches the Rfam family "Bacterial small subunit ribosomal RNA", at positions 30 to 507 of the family's 1533-position model. The record is from RNAcentral.
AUUGAACGCUGGCGGCAGGCCUAACACAUGCAAGUCGAGCGGAUGAAGGGAGCUUGCUCCUGGAUUCAGCGGCGGACGGGUGAGUAAUGCCUAGGAAUCUGCCUGGUAGUGGGGGAUAACGUCCGGAAACGGGCGCUAAUACCGCAUACGUCCUGAGGGAGAAAGUGGGGGAUCUUCGGACCUCACGCUAUUAGAUGAGCCUAGGUCUGAUUAGCUAGUUGGUGGGGUAAAGGCCUACCAAGGCGACGAUCCGUAACUGGUCUGAGAGGAUGAUCAGUCACACUGGAACUGAGACACGGUCCAGACUCCUACGGGAGGCAGCAGUGGGGAAUAUUGGACAAUGGGCGAAAGCCUGAUCCAGCCAUGCCGCGUGUGUGAAGAAGGUCUUCGGAUUGUAAAGCACUUUAAGUUGGGAGGAAGGGCAGUAAGUUAAUACCUUGCUGUUUUGACGUUACCAACAGAAUAAGCACCGGCUAACUUCGUG